This 506-nucleotide ribosomal RNA is filed under the name uncultured bacterium. RNAcentral's name for it is "partial 16S ribosomal RNA". It matches the Rfam family "Bacterial small subunit ribosomal RNA", at positions 29 to 523 of the family's 1533-position model. The record is from RNAcentral.
AGUGAACGCUGGCGGUAGGCCUAACACAUGCAAGUCGAACGGCAGCACAGGAGAGCUUGCUCUCUGGGUGGCGAGUGGCGGACGGGUGAGGAAUACAUCGGAAUCUACUCUGUCGCGGGGGAUAACGUAGGGAAACUUACGCUAAUACCGCAUACGACCUACGGGUGAAAGCAGGGGACCUUCUGGCCUUGCGCGAUUGAAUGAGCACAGGUCGGAUUCGCUAGUUGGCGGGGUAAAGGCCCACCAAGGGGACGAGCCGUAGCUGGUCUGAGAGGAUGAUCAGCCACACUGGAACUGAGACACGGUCCAGACUCCUACGGGAGGCAGCGGUGGGGAAUAUUGGACAAUGGGCGCAAGCCUGAUCCAGCCAUACCGCGUGGGUGAAGAAGGCCUUCGGGUUGUAAAGCCCUUUUGUUGGGAAAGAAAUCCAGCUGGCUAAUACCCGGUUGGGAUGACGGUACCCAAAGAAUAAGCACCGGCUAACUUCGUGCCAGCAGCCGCCGUAA